RNAcentral lists this ribosomal RNA (254 nucleotides) under uncultured bacterium. RNAcentral's name for it is "partial 16S ribosomal RNA". It matches the Rfam family "Bacterial small subunit ribosomal RNA", at positions 524 to 776 of the family's 1533-position model. The record is from RNAcentral.
CACGUAGGGUGCGAGCGUUGUCCGGAAUUAUUGGGCGUAAAGAGCUCGUAGGCGGUGUGUCGCGUCGGCCGUGAAAACCUGCAGCUUAACUGUGGGCUUGCGGUCGAUACGGGCAUCACUGGAGUUCGGCAGGGGAGACUGGAAUUCCUGGUGUAGCGGUGAAAUGCGCAGAUAUCAGGAGGAACACCGGUGGCGAAGGCGGCAUCCUGGACCAUUACUGACACUGAAAAGCGAAAGCCAGGGGAGCAAACGGG